RNAcentral lists this small nuclear RNA (149 nucleotides) under Suricata suricatta (meerkat). Its description in RNAcentral is "U2 spliceosomal RNA (ENSSSUG00005021361.1)". It matches the Rfam family "U2 spliceosomal RNA". From Rfam's summary of the family: U2 is a small nuclear RNA (snRNA) component of the spliceosome (involved in pre-mRNA splicing). Complementary binding between U2 snRNA (in an area lying towards the 5' end but 3' to hairpin I) and the branchpoint sequence (BPS) of the intron results the bulging out of an unpaired adenosine, on the BPS, which initiates a nucleophilic attack at the intronic 5' splice site, thus starting the first of two transesterification reactions that mediate splicing. The record is from Rfam by way of RNAcentral. Lineage: Eukaryota; Metazoa; Chordata; Mammalia; Carnivora; Herpestidae.
AUCGCUUCUUGGCCUUUUGGCUAAGAUCAAGUGUAGUAUCUGUUCUUAUCAGUUUAAAGUUUCUUGAUCAGAAAUGCAUCUCUUUCAGUUUCCUUGGCCAUCACUUAAACUGAUGGACCCUAUUAUAAUGGAGUGAGGGAAGACCCAAC